GUGAAUUUUGACGAUAUACGUCCUUUUUCUUCACUAGCUGAGCAGCCAUAGAGAUUGACUGUUACCGAUUGACUAGCAAAAAUAAUUUAAAAUUUUUAAUGAAUCAAAAAGAAAAAUGUUCACAAACACUUAAAUUAGAAGGAAGGUAAUUGACCUUGGAGAAUUUUAAUCCCAAAUGAAGCAUGGAUUUUAUUCUCGAAUCCAUCCUGCCAAAAGAUAUCCCCAAAACUAGCGACUUCUCCGUUCUCUAAAUUCUGCUUCCAAGGCAAUGUUCUCUAGCAACUGCCAAGUCUUCUUUUCUGCCUUGGCACGAGUGUAUGUGAUGGGUUUUUACCCACAACAGACCACCUUCUUUUUCAAUCCACAUAAAGCUAUAAAUAAUAUUUGCCUUAAUAAAGCAUGAUCAAGCUAAACUACCUAUUCACUUGCACCAAUCAUGGUCUACUCAUUACAGUGACCCAUACUCCAAAACAAUUUAUCAGCAACCAUAUAAAAUGAUCUCUAGGUCUAGGAUCAGAUGUGUAGUUACAUGAACACAGAAGACGCUAGUCUAAAAAUUUACACGCACUUUUCAUCACCUCUACACCUGAAGCACAAACGUUACUACUUUCAUGGUCAGCUGCGCCUACAUACUCACAUGUACAAGCAAGACUACUGAAUGAGGCACACAAGAGCAUCAGACCAAUUUCCAAGGGGCACUAGCUAUUUUUUCAAAAUUAUACCGGGAAUCUUUAAUUUGUACGUUUACAGAAUCCAUGUGCGACUGCAACCUGGUAAUCUCAAGAUCCUUGCUCUCCAUCUUUGACUUAGAUGCAACAAGUUCUUCUUGCAACUCAAGUACCUUCUUUUCGAUAUCAUUUAUCUUUGCUUCCAAUUUGCUUCUCUCAUCAGUAUGCUCCAUUAUCUGCCUUCCAACAUCUUUUGAUUCAUUCAGAAGCUCUUCUUUCCCAUAUUUAAUUGAUAGCAAUUCAUUCACACGGUCUCGUAGCAUGGUUACAUCAAAUCCAUGCAUCUCCAAAUCAGAAAGACUUUCCAAUGUACUCUCCAAUAUGCUUUUAGAAUCAUCAAAUUGCAGUGAUGUUAUCUUCUCAAACAAACUGGCAAAGGUUACCAUAAUACCAAUGGCUGAUCCUUCACGGUACUCCUCUUUACUAUCAGCCAAAGGUUGAAAAUGAGGCUUUUGUGGCAUGAUUUGAAAUACUUCCAUAGAUUCAAUUGUUUUCCAAACCGGUGACCUCUUUACAAAAGGCAAGCACUGAUUUCCAUUGGGUGCAGUGUCACCUUGUGCAUCAAUCACAGAAGAUACAAUUGCUAGAUCAACAUGUCUUCCUCUCGCCUCAUUCCAUCCAUUAGAAGGCCUUCCAGAAGAUAAUCCUGAGCACACAACAAACAGUAAAACAAAUAGCUAUAACAGAGUUUAUUCAAAGGGACUUGAGCACUUACGCAAUUCUUCAGCACUUGCAGAAGAAUGCAUCCCCCCAAUCCACGUUGAUAGAGGUUGAUCAUCAUCAGCAACAUUCUUUGAUACAGAGGGAAUGGCCAUUUCAACUUCUUUUGCCAUGCAAUCUGUCUCUGAAACUUCAGCUGUUUUCUCUCUAGAAGCAGCUUGAGAAACUGUAGACUCCACCCUUGUCUGUAUUGGCAUUUCAACUUCUUUAGAUGUGUGAUCUUUUACAACUACUUCAUUAGAAACAUCUUGAAUGCCAUGGUCCUCCUUACCUACAACAUGUAGUAUGUGUUUGUGUAUCUUAAAAUAAAUACAAAGUACCCAGCUAAUGAUUGUGUUUGAAGUUUUCAUGUACCAGCCUCUGAAGUCUUUAGGCUAACAACUACUAGUUUGCGUGGUCUUCCCCUCUUUCUCCGUUGACUGCUUCCUACAUAUUUAUGCUGAUUGAGUCCCUGAAGAAGAACAAACAACUAUUGAAAGAUGACACUAUCUAAUCAAGGAACAAACAAAAUCAGAUGGUAGUGUUCAAGUUUACAAUGACUGACAGGAUAGAGAAAAAGCAGGGGAAGGCAUUCCUCAUCAAAUUGAGAAGUGAGCAAAUAAAUAACAAGAAACUGGCUAUCUUGACAUUUGCAAAAAUAUCGCCUGCAUUUCUGGAAUCUUUAAACAACUUAAACACAUUCUUUUUUACACUCAGUGGCAAUGAAAUAACCAAUAACUCCAUUGAUCAUUCUCCUUUUCCCCAAAAUUUACUUUAGUUUUUCCUUGUCAAAUUGCAUGGCCAUCUACUUUGAUUAGAAAAAUGCUUUCUUCAAAGCUUUUUUCUAUGGUAUGGGUGCUAAAGUAAGAGGCCAUUACCUCAACCAUUUAAGCGCACCAUAGGCUUACAGUUUUAAGAUUGAAACAGAAUUCCAUGUAUAUAUAAUCCGCUUAACGAGCGUAUUAAUCUAACAUUUUUGCAUGAAGGUAUAUAAAGCAAUUAAUAAGGAUGUUCCUCUGUCAAUGUUCAUAGAAAGUUAAGGUGAUAGAUUAGAAACCUAAAAAAGUGAUGAAUAAUAAAUGGUCUUAUUGAAUAUUAACAUUUUCCAAAAAAACUAAGCAAUUUCACUGUCAUUAGAUAUUACUACUCUACAAUCUCUUUAAAUGGUAGAUGUUUUCAACUUCAACAACGUAUCAUGGCAGUUCCGUUUGUUCUUUCCCUAAAAACAAACCUUGACUAUCUAAAAUAGGGAUGUGCAAAGUGAAUAUGCUUACCAUGAUCUUGCCUCCUACUGAAUCACUUAAAUUCUUCUUCUGAUCUCUCAUAAGCUUGAGUGUUUCCUCACCAGAGAGCUGAGAAGGACAAUCAUGUUGUGAAUGCCUCAUUUCCCUAGCUUCUAAUGCUAUGACAACAGGUAUUCCAUCUUUCAUUUUAUCCUCAAUUUCAUUUUUGUUUUGAAUGGCAACAUCCACUGCUGCUGAAACCUGUGGACUUCUAAAUGGUGAUUUAGUAAGUCUACCUUUCCUUGUCACAAUGUCCACUUUCUGACCAUCUAAUUCAGCAAAUUUCAGCCGCUUACUCUUCUUUGGUAGCUCUUUAAUACGAAUAAGGCCUCCAUUAGCUUUAGGAACAACUGCUCUCUUUCCUGUAGGGCUCUCGGUUUUUGCAGCAGUCUGAUCACCAAUCAUGGGUUUUUUGGAGUAUCUGGUUCUUUUGCCUCCAGUUCUUGGAGUUACUAAACCUCGAAGAGUUUCUCCAGUUGAUAUUUCAAUUGGCAUCUUCAUUAAUGGCAAUGUUGUAACUGAUAACGGGACAUCUACAGCAUCUUCUAUUGUUGACUUUUUGGAAGGACACGAAUGCAGACCAGUACCAUUAGGAGCUGCCAGCUUUACCUUCUUGCUUGGAGGCAACAUAUGAGAAGGUGAUUUUUCAUUACAAUGAGCUGACUGCUCCAUCAUAUUCCUUAUGCUUGAGGAACAAGGUGAUUUAUCUUCAUUCUUACCCUCAAUAGCACCCAACUCUUCACCUUUCAUGGACAUAUCAGGACUGUCAAUGCAGUUGUGGGCAUUACCCAACAGUUUGUUAUUAUUAGAAGCAAUCAUGACUUCCUUUGAUUUACAAAUCCACUGGCCAUCCUUCCAUUCCACAUGAGGCCUUAUUUCUGAGUAAUUAAGCUCCUUGUCCUCAUUACCCUGCUUAAAAAAGACAUUGUACCUCCUCCCAGAAAGAAGUUUAGUAAUCACACCAGCCCGCCAUCCAAAGUCAUAUUGUGCAUCCACCUUUUCCAGUAACUCAAAGUUUCUGUCUGCAUAACGAGGAGGAAUGGGUCGAAUGUGGAGGGAAUCCACAAUAACUUUUGUCCCAGCUUCAUCACUAUUCUUUGAGCUUUGAUACUUCACCAAGAAAGUGUUAUCCCCAUUAUCCUUAAUAACAACUGCAGGGAACCAAGCAUCACGUACAUUUUCUUUGUCAAUAUUCACCUCUACUGCCGUUCCUGAGCUGAAAGCUGACCCGGCCAUUUGCUGCUUCUCGGGUGCAACCCAGUUAGCAUCAACCCAUUUCCAGUGAGUCCUCAAAUCUUUCCCAUCAAAGUCAAUAACAUCCGGUGGGUUAUCAAAAUAAACCCUAUACCUAGAACGCUCUAAAACCUUCCUUACAACGCCAGUCCACCACCCGUCUCUGUACCUGGCAUCAACGACGUCGUUCUCCUGAAAAACCCGGUCACCAGAAUGUGAAUCAUCUGGAGGCAGAGGCCUUAUGUACCCGGGAUCCACAAGCUCCUUCAGAGGAGCGGAGCCAUAUUCCAUAACCAAAGUCUUGUACUCAACCAUUACUUUUUUCCUCUUCUUGGAAGCGGAUUUGGAUGGGGACUCCAAAAUUGUGGCCACGUACCAUGCGCCCCUAAACCCAUCAUCGUCGCUACUCACUUCCACCUCUUGGCCUUUGUUGAAGAUGAGGCUAGAUUGGGCGCUGUUCUGGGGAUUUUGGAGCUGAGCAGAGUCCAAUCCCGUCAUAAUUUUUGAAUUUUGAGUGAGUAAAGCAGAAAACCCUAAUUUGUGCUUUCUUUUUUU
This 4498-nucleotide unclassified non-coding RNA is filed under the name Hevea brasiliensis (rubber tree). The record is from RNAcentral. Lineage: Eukaryota; Viridiplantae; Streptophyta; Magnoliopsida; Malpighiales; Euphorbiaceae.